Molecule: ribosomal RNA, 230 nt
Filed under: uncultured microorganism
Description: partial 16S ribosomal RNA
Rfam family: Bacterial small subunit ribosomal RNA
Source: RNAcentral
UACGUAGGGAGCAAGCGUUGUUCGGAUUUACUGGGCGUAAAGGGCGCGUAGGCGGCAAAUCAAGUCAGCUGUGAAAUCUCCGGGCUUAACUCGGAACGGUCAGCUGAUACUGCUUUGCUAGAGUGCAGAAGGGGCAAUCGGAAUUCUCGGUGUAGCGGUGAAAUGCGUAGAUAUCGAGAGGAACACCUGAGGUGAAGACGGGUUGCUGGGCUGACACUGACGCUGAGGCG